AAACUAAAUCAAAACCUUAGCCGCAGCAAUAUGGAAGAUAAAACGCCCUAAGGCUCUCCCCUCCAUCUUUCGCCGUUUCAAAUCCCAGAUUCCCCGUCCAAUCCGAUCAGAACAAAGUAGACGAGGAUUCCUACGGCGUGAUAUCACAGGUAAGAUCCUUCUCUUUUUCUUUUUGUAUAGCAAAUAGAAAGAAGCAAAGAAAAAUAAUAGAGAAACGCAGAAAAAAAAAACAAAACAUAAAUGGUGAAUCACCUUCUCAAAACUAAAAAAACUUUGUUUUUGAUUCUUUCUAUUGAUAUUGUGUGAUCGUAUGCGUGGGUUCCCCCCUUCAAAUACAGAAAAAUGGCUUUUUAUAUAGCCGGAUCCAAAAGAAAAAUAAAUCAAAAUUUUUUCUGCCCUCUCUGCUAUUUUUUCGUUUUUGCCUGCUGCUUUGUUCGUUUUGUUUGUUGCAGGCGUACGGAGCAAUGGACGUGGAGGCUCGCGUGGAUUUGGCGCGGAGGCACUACACGCGUGCAGGCGCAACAUGGCGAGGAGGAGGCCUGGCUCUGCUGCGACGCUGGAGGUUCUAGGGUUCCCUGCUGCUGAUUUUCUCUGUUUUGGGCUGCGGGUAUUUGGGCUUGAUUUUGGGUUUAGGUUUAGUAUUUGGGUUAAGGACUGAAUUGGGCUUUGAGUCUGUAAAUGGACAUUUAUUUAUUUUUUUGGGUUUUUGGUUUGAUUUUAAUAUUUAUAAAAACUAGGUUGUUAAUAGUGGAUGUUUUAAUUUAAUUUAUUUUUGGUAUUUAUUGGGCCGGGCAAAAUGGGUUAUUACAACAUAAAUUCAAAAUGAUAUCAUUUAUAAUUAUUUAGUUGGGAUAAAUAAUUAAAUUUUAAAAAUUAGGGUAUUAGCAUUUUUCAAAUUAAAAAAAUAAUUAUGAAAGAAGAAUAAUUAUCUUAAAAAUAAAUAAUAUACUAGAAAUUCAAUAUGGAUAUCAUUGUAUUUGUAAAAAAUUAUAAAUAAACUAUAUAUUAGAGUUAAAUAAAAAAAAUUGAAGUUUAAAUUAUUUUUUAAUCUUAUAAUAGGAUCAUGUGUUCUAAAUGAAAUAAAAUUAGGAGAAAUUUUGAAAACCCACCUGUUUAGGUGGAACUUGAAAAAUAAAAUUGAGCUACUAAAGUUUUCGCAAAUUUUGGAAUUCUUCGAUAUUUUUACCCAAACAAAUAAAUUUAUUUUUAAAAAUUUAACAACUCUAAGAGAAACAAAAUUCCUCUUGUAAAUUCUUCAUUUAAACAUACUUUAAAGGUUGAAAACAUAGGUUUUUAGUGAAUCUGUAAAAAAAAAAAUCAUAAUACAAGAACCUUUUAUACAACUUGAAAAAAAC
Molecule: long non-coding RNA, 1355 nt
Filed under: Gossypium barbadense (sea-island cotton)
Lineage: Eukaryota; Viridiplantae; Streptophyta; Magnoliopsida; Malvales; Malvaceae
Description: long non-coding RNA (GBAR_LNC016953)
Source: RNAcentral